GUGCUCAUUUUGGCAGCACAUAUACUAAAAUUGGACCCAUACAGGGAAGAUUAGCGUGGCCCCCCUGCACAAGGUAGACAUGCAAAUUUGUGAAGGGUUUCAUAUUUUA
Molecule: small nuclear RNA, 109 nt
Organism: Nomascus leucogenys (northern white-cheeked gibbon)
Lineage: Eukaryota; Metazoa; Chordata; Mammalia; Primates; Hylobatidae
Source: Ensembl